UGUUGGUACAGCUGAUGUAAACGCGCUUUUAUUAGUAAAAAGGGGAAUCCCACAAUUCAAUAUUAUUGCUGUGAAUUAAAAGCUGCAGUCUGGUACUUUUAAUAUUGUAUUCGUGUUCGUUGAGUGUUAUUUGUUAUAAAAAUCAAAUAAAAAUAAAAGAAGUUAUGGGCCGAAAAGAAUUAACAAUUAGAGAACGGGAAAUCAUAACUGAUCUACAUGUUAGGCAAGGUAAAUCUUAUUCACAAAUAUCUGAGCUUGUAUCGCGUAGUCGGUCAUCAGUCCAAAAAGUGGUUAACCGAUAUAAUAAGGAAAACAGAGUUGAAAAUGCACCCAGGACUGGCCGCCCGCCCAAACUGAAUGAUACUGACAAGAGGAAAAUUUUGCGUAUAGUAAAAGAAAACCCAUUUGUAAGCUGCAGAAAAAUUAGUGUUGACCUUGCUGUUUACGACAACAAACAGGUUAGUGCAGAAACUGUACGAAGAGCUGUCGUAGAGAAUGGAUUUUCAUCUAGAACGCCCAGGAAGAAGCCGCUUGUGAGUGCUAUAAACAAAGAAAAGCGUAUAACAUUCGCAAAGACAUAUUGUGACAAGCCUGUGGAGUUUUGGGACAAAAUUUUAUUUUCAGAUGAGUCUAAGUUUUGCAUACUUAACGUAAAUGGGCAUAAAAGGGUCUGGGGCAGAGCAGGAGAAGCGCUCAAUCCAAAGAAUACGGUUAAAACCAUUAAACAUGGAGGCGGUGGCGUUAUGGUGUGGGGGUGCAUGGCAGCUGCGGGGGCAGGAAACCUGGUUUUUGUCGAAAAUAAUAUGGACCAGAAUACAUAUUUGGAUAUUCUACGAAAUCUUUGGUGUGAACUUGAGACUAGAAUUAGAAAAAGAAAGAUGUCAAGCAAGGCGCAGCUUAAGGAGGUUAUAUUAGAGGAGUGGAACAACAUUAGCAGCGAGCUCACCAAAAAAUUGAUGCAUUCAAUGCCUAAAAGGUUGAAAUCAGUAAUAAAAACUAAAGGAUAUCCUACAAAAUACUGAAAAAGGUGUACCUUGACUUUUGUGGACUCAAUAUAAUGGCUUAUCACCAUAUUGGCAUCAUUUUCUUUUCUUAUAUACUGAAUUUUGGUUUUGUUUUUACAUGGAUUCAAAGUUUAUUUUUUGUUGUUGAAAAUACGUUAAGAAAAUUUUACUUUUAUUUGAUUAAUAAAAGCAGAUCACACUGUUUUCAAAAAUUUACUUGCUGUACCUUCACUUCUGUGGAAGGACUGUAUGUAAAAAAUUUGAAAAACAAAAAAUUUUUUCAUAGCCGCUGUAUAAGCAGGAUUUACUCGAGAUGUUAUAUUGUUAAAAUACAUUUUUGCAUCUUUAUGUUUUGCCUCGAAACGCAUUGCCCAGACAAACUUGAGAGGACCACACUUCUCAAUUGCGUGUGGGUAGUGCACCAAAAAAUGAUGCUUAGGUUUCAAAUUACCGUAAAGUAGAAUAUAUAAUUGAUGAUGUGCUUUAAUUAAAUUUUUUAACUUAUCUAGAUCGAAAUUAGAAAAACUAGAAUCAAAUAAUAAAUCUACUAUUUCUAUUAGCAACACCAACAGUUUCCAAUGCUUCACGUCUGGUGAAAUUAAAUCUCCUAUCAUGAGUGGGAGAAAAUUUGUAAAGCAUAAAACCUCACUAGCUGUCAUUUUUAAGUUGUACGAUUGAAGUCGGUCCAUAAGGAGAGGCUGCGAAAUAUUUCCUAUUUCAAUAAUUCCAAACUGAAAAAAUUUUUUUCUGCUGUUAAUAAUGUCUAAUGAAAUAAUUUUGUCAUUUACCAAACCCAAGAUUAUGUUGCAAAUAUCAUAUACGCAAAUCCCUUCUAAAACGUCAUGCAUAACGUCAAAGCAAAUGUUAUUUGUUACGUGAAACAUUUUCAACUCAUUAAAAAUACAAACUGUUUUGACACCGGUGUCUUGAAAUUUAUUGUUAAAUAAGUCAUCUUCGUAUUUAAUUCAAGUUCUUAGCAGUUGUUCGUUUUCUGAAACAUCAAUUUUAAUUUGAUCUUUAGUAGUUGUACAUGCUCGACAGUAACGCUUGGCAUUAAAAGAUUGCACAAAACCCAAAAUACUAUUUACACCUACAUUAUCUCCAACUAUAAGGCUUAAAACGAAAUGUACUUUGAAAGUCUGAUCAAGUGAUUGAAUUAAUAUCCCUUCCUCCAAUGAUUUAAGCUCUUCAAGUAAAUGGAAGAAGGACGUUCUGUUUCCACAACAUUUCAAAUCUUUUGUAGAUAUAAAAGCAGCAUUAAAAAUAAAAUCAAGUUUUGAGAGUAUAUAUUGUGGCAUAGUAGGGAAAUUGUAAUAACAACCGCAAAUCGAGAAUGUGUGACUACCAAGAGCGUUAUUUAAUUGAAAGUCAUCAAAAUAUAAAACAUAGGGUAUUACCAGUUGAGAAUCAACUUUUAAUUUAAUUGAAUGAAAAAUUUGUCCAUUGUCCAAAAGUAGUAUCUGCUAAAAACUUUUCUGUAUUUUCUAAACUCAUUUGUAAAACAUUAGGACUCAAAAAGUGCUUUAAAUUGAAAUUUUAAUGGCAUUAUUUGAAAGCUAAGCUUUUUACUAUCGAGUGUAGGGUUUCCCUGAACAACUGUGUCAGCUAUUUCAUUAAGAAUUACAAAAGACUUUGGGCUUUCAUAUAAAUUCAUUGCCUUUAAAACUGUAAUUAUUCGAUGUUCAGAUUUUAUUUCCAUAAAUGGAUCAUCACAAAAGUUAAGAAUACAGUCAAUAUCGUUUUGUAGUUAGGGUAAUAAGUUACUGUUUGAAUUUGAAAUAACAUUUCUGAUUGUAGCAGAAACUGUUCCUAGUAAAUCUGAUACCAUGCUUUGUGUAUUUAAAACAUCUUUUCUUGGCAUGGUACUUUUUGAAUAUAGUUGCAGACAUAAAGCUAAAGACUUAUUUUUUAAAUCCGUUAUGGUUUGUUCUCUAUUUAUAUGAAAUUGUGAACUUGUGUCUGGCAUUGUUACUAUGAUAGGUUCAUCUGAUAAAAUGGGUUCAUCUAACCUAAUUCCGGAAGAUGUGGCGGGUAACUCUGUUGGUGUUUGUAAAGUGUAAAUUUUAUUCUUAUGUGUUAACAAAUAUCGCUUUAGAGAACUAAAGUUAGAAAAAAUUUGCUUACAUUUAUUUUGUUCGCAAGUUUAUCUCUAUUUGACAAUAAAUGCAUGUGUUUUAAAUGUCUUAUUAGCACAUCAACACUUUUAAAUAACUGAAAACAUCUGAAACAUUUAUACAUUAUUACAAUCGAAAAAUUUACAAAAUUUAAUUUUUUUCAUUCAUGUGUGUUAACAAUGAAGUAAUAUUUGAACUUUUUAAAUCAAAUUUUGAAUCUUAUGCCGGAAUUACAUGUGCAGAAUUCAGCGUGCAGAAAAAAAAUUUGUACUGAUUUGACAGUUCAAAUUCUGCACCUCAAUGCAGAUCUGCACGGCAUGUGAAAUUUGAAUUUCGCUGCACAGAGGCAGUGCUGACAACAUUCAAAUAAUUAAUUUUUGAGCAAAGUCCGUCAACAUUUUAAAUUGUGCUCAGCUGUUAAGUAAAAAUUAACAAAAGAAAUAAAAAAUGGAAGAAAAACUGAUUGAGUUUGUAAGAGAAACCGGUUCUUAUAUGACAAAAGUCGUAGAAAUUAUAAAAAUAGCUACCUGAGGGACGCCAAAUUUCAGGAGCUAUCCGAGAAAUUGAAUAUUCCUGGUAAAUUUUUAAUUUUAUAACCUGACAAAAUAAAUAUUUAUUCAUGUUUUGAAUGAUUUUAGGUGAGAAGCUAAAGGCCCGUUGGCUGACCCUACGUGAUAAAUUUUAUAAAGAUCUAAAAAAGGUACCAUCAGGAAGCGGUGUGUAUUCGCCACACAAAAAGUGGAAGUGGAUGAAGAGCUAACAGUUUUUAAAGGACGUUGAAAUGGACAAUUUGAACGCACAAGGCAAUUAUGGCACCUUUGGAAAAGCCUUGCCAAGCAGGCGGAGGGAGCUAAUUUAAGUAGCCUGGAAAUGUCGGAGUUCCAAUUCCAAAUUUCCCAAACAUUCCAC
Bactrocera dorsalis (oriental fruit fly) is the source of this 4027-nucleotide long non-coding RNA. RefSeq lists it as uncharacterized. NCBI's taxonomy places the organism in Eukaryota, Metazoa, Arthropoda, Insecta, Diptera, Tephritidae. The record is from RefSeq and is a predicted model, not a curated record. The transcript has 3 exons.